UUACUACUCCCUCUGACCCAAAAUUCUUGUCUUAGGUUUGUCUAAAAAUAAAUGUAUCUAAAUACUAAAACUCGACUAGAUACAUUUAUAUUUAGACAAAUCUAAGACCAGAAUUUUGGGAUGAAGAGAGUACGUA
Hordeum vulgare subsp. vulgare (domesticated barley) is the source of this 136-nucleotide non-coding RNA. Lineage: Eukaryota; Viridiplantae; Streptophyta; Magnoliopsida; Poales; Poaceae. The record is from Rfam.